CACGUAGGGACCAAGCGUUGUCCGGAUUUAUUGGGCGUAAAGCGCUCGUAGGCGGUUCGGUAAGUCGGGUGUGAAACCUCCAGGCUCAACCUGGUGACGCCACCCGAUACUGCCGUGACUUGAGUUCGGUAGGGGAGCGGGGAAUUCCUGGUGUAGCGGUGAAAUGCGCAGAUAUCAGGAGGAACACCGAUGGCGAAGGCAGCUCUCUGGUACGUGACUGACACUGAGACGCGAAAGCGUGGGGAGCGAACAGG
RNAcentral lists this ribosomal RNA (254 nucleotides) under uncultured bacterium. RNAcentral describes it as "partial 16S ribosomal RNA". It matches the Rfam family "Bacterial small subunit ribosomal RNA", at positions 524 to 776 of the family's 1533-position model. The record is from RNAcentral.